GACUCUGAAAAUAAAGUGUAUGAAAACGAUUCAAAACAAUGGACACUGGGAAACUGAUUUACUGAAUAUCAUGUUUAGAUGAAAAUAGAAUACUGACAAUUUUCUAAUGGAAUAUUAUGUUAAUUGACAACCAUUUAAUGGAUUCGUAGCAUAUGACAUGCAAUUCGUCAUUGAUGUCAGAUGAGAUGAGCAACAAAACUACAUUGGGAAAUCCUUUACAAUAAAACAAAUUGAAAGAACAUGAUACCUUCAAGAGUACAACUGGAAUGGUUCCACACUACGCAAUGAUGAAGGAGAAUUUCAUGAUUGAAAAAUCCCUGAAGAAUUAUUUUUUUUGUUUUUUUGUAGAUUGCUCUAAAUGUGUCUGAACAAUCAAUUCAAAUAACCGGUACCAUUAAAUAGGACGGAUAGAAAAAAAAUAUCAUCACAUAUUUUUCAUAUGAAUCG
This 447-nucleotide long non-coding RNA is filed under the name Mytilus galloprovincialis (Mediterranean mussel). The record is from RNAcentral. Lineage: Eukaryota; Metazoa; Mollusca; Bivalvia; Mytilida; Mytilidae.